CUUCGGGAGUACAUCAGCGGCGAACGGGUGAGUAACACGUGGGUGACUUGCCCCGAAGAUGGGGAUAACCUCUGGAAACGGGGGCUAAUACCCAAUGUGCUCGGUGAUUCGGUUCAUCGAGUAAAGCUCCGGCGCUUCGGGAGAGGCCUGCGGCCCAUCAGCUAGUUGGUAGGGUAACGGCCUACCGAGGCAGAGACGGGUAGGGGGCGUGAGAGCGCGGACCCCCACACUGGCACUGAGAUACGGGCCAGACUCCUACGGGAGGCAGCAGUAAGGGAUAUUGCGCAAUGGACGAAAGUCAGACGCAGCGACGCCGCGUGGGCGAUGAAGGCCUUCGGGUUGUAAAGCCCUUUUAUGGGGGAAGAGAAAAAGGACGGUACCCCAGGAAUAAGUCCCGGCUAACUACGUGCCAGCAGCCGCGGUAAAACGUAGGGGACAAGCGUUAUCCGGAUUCACUGGGCGUAAAGAGCGUUGAGGCGGUUCCGUAAGUUGGGCGUGAAAGCUCCGGGCUUAACUCGGAGAUGUCGUUCAAUACUGCGGGGCUUGAGGACAGCAGAGGAAGGUGGAAUUCCCGGUGUAGUGGUGAAAUGCGUAGAUAUCGGGAGGAACACCCGUGGCGAAGGCGGCCUUCUGGGCUGUUCCUGACGCUGAAGGCGAAAGCUAGGGGAGCGAACGGGAUUAGAUACCCCGGUAGUCCUAGCUGUAAACGAUGGAUGCUGGGUGUGGGGGGUGUAAAUUCCCUCUGUGCCGAAGCAAACGCGUUAAGCAUCCCGCCUGGGGACUACGGCCGCAAGGCUAAAACUCAAACGAAUUGACGGGGGCCCGCACAAGCAGCGGAGCGUGUGGUUUAAUUCGAUGCUACACGAAGAACCUUACAUGGGUUUGACAUGCACGUGGUAGGGAACCGAAAGGGGACCGACAUUCGGGAGCGUGCACAGGUGCUGCAUGGCUGUCGUCAGCUCGUGCCGUGAGGUGUCGGGUUAAGUCCCGUAACGAGCGCAACCAUUGCCCUUAGUUACAAGUGUCUAAGGGGGACUGCCCGGGACAACUGGGAAGAAGGUGGGGAUGACGUCAAGUCAGCAU
RNAcentral lists this ribosomal RNA (1083 nucleotides) under uncultured organism. RNAcentral describes it as "bacterial SSU rRNA". It matches the Rfam family "Bacterial small subunit ribosomal RNA", at positions 78 to 1196 of the family's 1533-position model. The record is from RNAcentral.